GCCGGGGUGGCGGAAUUGGUAUACGCAGUGGACUUAAAAUCCAUCCCCCGAAAGGGGUUGCGGGUUCGAGUCCCGCCCUCGGCA
RNAcentral lists this transfer RNA (84 nucleotides) under Nitrospina sp. RNAcentral's name for it is "tRNA-Leu". It matches the Rfam family "tRNA". Rfam says of the family: Transfer RNA (tRNA) molecules are approximately 80 nucleotides in length. Their secondary structure includes four short double-helical elements and three loops (D, anti-codon, and T loops). Lineage: Bacteria; Pseudomonadati; Nitrospinota; Nitrospinia; Nitrospinales; Nitrospinaceae. The record is from RNAcentral.